GGGCAUUUGGUCUAGUGGUAUGAUUUUUGCUUUGGGUGCGAGAGGUCCCGAGUUCGAUUCUCGUAAUGCCCC
Molecule: transfer RNA, 72 nt
Filed under: Nelumbo nucifera (sacred lotus)
Lineage: Eukaryota; Viridiplantae; Streptophyta; Magnoliopsida; Proteales; Nelumbonaceae
Rfam family: tRNA
About the family: Transfer RNA (tRNA) molecules are approximately 80 nucleotides in length.
Source: Rfam by way of RNAcentral